GUUUUGGAUACAGCUGAUCAUCACGCAAACGAUUUAUUUCUGAAACAGUUGAAUCCAUAGAUUGCAUGUCAACAAUGUAUCGAGUAUGCAAAUGACUAACAGCUGCUUUCAUUCUCUCUAAAGCUUCUGUAUUUGAGUCACGUUUCUUUAGUUUAGUCAAUGAAGUAACCUUUCGUUGAUAUUCCAGUUUCAUUUGUUCACCUGCCUGAAGAACAUCAUCGGUGCAACAAUAAUUCAUUAGGAGGAAGCAUCUGAGAUUUGUACUCUUAUUACAUACUAAUGUGACAAAUGAGAGAAAAGUCCACAAGCACAACAUGUAUUAUGGUCACAAAUGGAAGAAAAAUGAACCAGAUAUAUAUCAACUAAAAAUUGGGUGGAGGGAACAGGUACAAACAAGAAAAGGCAGCAGCAGCAUAAGAAAGCAAGCUAAUCAAAUUAAACCUAAGCAACUCAUUGCUUUAGCAAAUCGAACAUAUUGAAUGACAAAACAAGAAGGAAAAAUACAAGGCAAAAUGAUUAAAAAAUGUCACCCCACAUACU
Molecule: long non-coding RNA, 540 nt
Filed under: Coffea arabica (coffee)
Lineage: Eukaryota; Viridiplantae; Streptophyta; Magnoliopsida; Gentianales; Rubiaceae
Description: long non-coding RNA (CARA_LNC002715)
Source: RNAcentral